RNAcentral lists this unclassified non-coding RNA (341 nucleotides) under soil metagenome. RNAcentral describes it as "partial contains 5.8S ribosomal RNA, internal transcribed spacer 2, and large subunit ribosomal RNA". The stretch from base 1 to 120 matches the Rfam family "5.8S ribosomal RNA", at positions 35 to 154 of the family's 154-position model. The record is from RNAcentral.
GAUGAAGGACGUAGCGAAAUGCGAUAGGUAAUGUGAAUUGCAGAAUUCAGUGAAUCAUCGAAUCUUUGAACGCACAUUGCGCCCUUUGGUAUUCCAAAGGGCAUGCCUGUUCGAGCGUCAUUUGUACCCUCAAGCUUUGCUUGGUGUUGGGCGUCUUGUCUCUAGCUUUGCUGGAGACUCGCCUUAAAGUAAUUGGCAGCCGGCCUACUGGUUUCGGAGCGCAGCACAAGUCGCACUCUCUAUCAGCAAAGGUCUAGCAUCCAUUAAGCCUUUUUUUCAACUUUUGACCUCGGAUCAGGUAGGGAUACCCGCUGAACUUAAGCAUAUCAAUAAGCGGAGGA